CCCUAAACCUAAAUAAUCGACCAACAAGAUUAUUCGCCAGAGUACUACUAGCAACAGCCUAAAACUCAAAGGACUUGACGGUGCUUCAUAUCCAUCUAGAGGAGCCUGUUCUAUAAUCGAUAAACCCCGAUAAACCUCACCAACCCUUGCCAAAUCAGCCUAUAUACCGCCAUCUUCAGCAAACCCUAAAAAGGAACAACAGUAAGCACAACUAUAAUCUGUAAAAACGUUAGGUCAAGGUGUAGCCUAUGGAUUGGGAAGAAAUGGGCUACAUUUUCUAUAUAAGAAUACUUACGAAAAUUCUUAUGAAACUAAGAAUUAAAGGAGGAUUUAGCAGUAAAUUAAGAAUAGAGUGCUUAAUUGAAUAAGGCCA
This 373-nucleotide ribosomal RNA is filed under the name Dicotyles tajacu (collared peccary). Its description in RNAcentral is "Pecari tajacu (collared peccary) partial 12S ribosomal RNA". It matches the Rfam family "Bacterial small subunit ribosomal RNA", at positions 800 to 1374 of the family's 1533-position model. The record is from RNAcentral. Lineage: Eukaryota; Metazoa; Chordata; Mammalia; Artiodactyla; Tayassuidae.